UUUGAUCAUGGCUCAGGAUGAACGCUGGCGGCGUGCCUAAUACAUGCAAGUCGAUCGGGCGCAGCAAUGCGCUAGAGGCGAACGGGUGAGUAACACGUAGGUAACCUGCCCUCGAGACUGGGAUACCCGAACGAAAGUUUGGCUAAUACCGGAUAACCACAUUGGACGCAUGUCCGAUGUGUGAAAGGCGCUUCAAAGCGUCGCUCUUGGAUGGACUGCGGCACAUUAGCUAGUUGGUGAGAUAACAGCCCACCAAGGCGAGGAUGUGUAGCCGAUCUGAGAGGAUGAACGGCCACAAUGGGACUGAGACACGGCCCAUACUCCUACGGGAGGCAGCAGUAGGGAGUUUUCGGCAAUGGGGGAAACCCUGACCGAGCAACGCCGCGUGAGUGAUGAAGAUCUUCGGAUCGUAAAGCUCUGUUACAGGGGACGAAUGACCGCUUUAGGAAAUGAAGGCGGUUUGACGGUACUCUGCCAGAAAGGGACGGCUAACUACGUGCCAGCAGCCGCGGUAAUACGUAGGUCCCGAGCGUUAUCCGGAAUUAUUGGGCGUAAAGAGUGAGCAGGCGGUGCGGUAAGUUUGAAGUGAAAGCGUGGGGCUCAACCCCAUACAGCUUCGAAAACUACCGCGCUAGAGUAUGUGAGAGGUCAACGGAAUUCCAUGUGUAGCGGUGAAAUGCGUAGAUAUAUGGAGGAACACCGGUGGCGAAGGCGGUUGACCAGCACAAUACUGACGCUCAGUCACGAAAGCGUGGGGAGCAAAUAGGAUUAGAUACCCUAGUAGUCCACGCCGUAAACUAUGAUGGCUAACUAUUGCCGUGAGGCAGUGGUGAAGCAAACGCAUUAAGCCAUCCGCCUGGGAAGUACGGUCGCAAGACUGAAACUCAAAGGAAUUGACGG
Molecule: ribosomal RNA, 900 nt
Filed under: uncultured bacterium
Lineage: Bacteria
Description: bacterial SSU rRNA
Rfam family: Bacterial small subunit ribosomal RNA
Source: RNAcentral